Molecule: long non-coding RNA, 686 nt
Filed under: Vigna radiata
Lineage: Eukaryota; Viridiplantae; Streptophyta; Magnoliopsida; Fabales; Fabaceae
Description: long non-coding RNA (VRAD_LNC009303)
Source: RNAcentral
AUAACAUUUGUAGAAACUGAAAAUCAUAAUUUUGUCAAUUACUACACUAGUAAACAUCUUUCCCUUGCAUUCAUUGAGCCCAACAUAGCGCUGAAGUACUGAUGGAAACUGUUUUAUAUUAUAAAAUAAAGCACUAUUUAUUAACUAGCUCCAAAUAAAAGAGUAAGCCACUAAAAGUAGGAUAUUUAUAUCUAUAUUUACCUACACUGAUACGAAGAGAAUCUUUCACAAAACUAUUCAAUACCACCACCAAAACCAAACAAACUUUCUCUUGACUUUCUUGUUUCACAUUCACUCACUCCCUGCCAAAAGGGAUUUUUCUUUGGAAUUAUUUUACUGACAUUUACAGUUAUUUUCACUCAAAUAUAAAAGUACAUAGGUCAGAUAUGGGUUGGAUUCAACCUUCAUACACAAAAUUCACACAGCAAAACAUUUCCACACUCCUCCCACAUCAUUCAAGGGCAAUCUUUCUCACCCACAGUAACAACACAUACCCACAAAAGGAGUUCUAUAUCUGAAGACGAUGAUUAAGGAAAAUUGAAUUAAAUGAUUCAAUUACUUGAAAACACGUUCCAUUAAUUUUCAGCUUUGAAUGCUUCCUAGGAUAUGGCCUAGAUACUUUUGGAGAAAUAUCUGCAAAAGUAAUCUUAAAACCUUUUAUGCACUAUGUUCCCCUCAUAUCAAGA